Molecule: long non-coding RNA, 603 nt
Filed under: Mytilus galloprovincialis (Mediterranean mussel)
Lineage: Eukaryota; Metazoa; Mollusca; Bivalvia; Mytilida; Mytilidae
Source: RNAcentral
GUGUAUAAGGUCCGAGAACACAAUUAAUUCGUAGUGCAUUUCUUUUAGAACAUAAAUGAAAAUAAAAAAAAAAUCCCACCUGCGCUUUCCCAAUGAAACUUUUACAGUGUGUUGUACUACUUUUGGGACAAAUUAUAUCAAAAUUAUAGAAAACUUCAUCGCCUCUAACUCAAAAUAUGGACAAUUUUGUGUUUAGGGUGUCUUGAAAUCUUUUGACAGCUUCCGAAGUGCUAAUUUUUAACCUUUUUCAGCUAGACCAAAUCACUACUUUCCUGUAAAAUUCUGGACCCAAAUUUUUUUACAGUGUAAUUUCACCCCCCUACUUACAAUUUGAGGCAUUAAACUCGGAGAAAUAAAUUUGGAAGGGGUAUAAAAAUUAUUGGCAAGUAGCCCACUGUUAACACUAGGGACUAUAUUCGUGAACAACGAAAAUCAAGGGACGACAAUUGUGGUCUCGGACCUAAUAGGAUAGAAAGAGUUGACAAAUCUUAAAAAAAACUUGGUAUGACCAAAGCUUAAUUAAUUAUAACACUGCUUGCAAAGUUUCAUAACAAUAGGAUAUAUAUUAUAGACACUAUGUUAAAUUCUAUACUCAUCUUUGCG